UUCAUUUUGAGAAUCUUUCUCUUGAGUUGGCCAGCGCAAGCCUCACAAUGCAUGUUCACAUUCAGCUCCACGGUGGUCAAUCCGCUAACCUGGAUGAGGACGAUGACGAUGACGAUGACGAUGACGAUGGAUCAUUUUUGUAUUGAUACAGGAAAAAGCAAACCUGCGAGGCAACAACCUGGGGCAUCGGCUCCCCCUCAGCUGCGGGUAGCGGCGACAACACUUGGGCUCUUCUUUUGGCUUUCUUCUCAAUGGUGGUGCAUACAGCUUGGGGCUCCACUACACCUUUUAUAGUCACUUGGUUUUGCGACAUGUCGAUUACAACCCCCUCAACGCCUGUGAUCGUCAAAUGCCCCACCAAAUUUAUCGUCAAAAGUUUUUUUUUUUUUUUAAAAAAAGAAAACCCUGCUAGUAUAUUAACCAAACCAGGGUAAUAUGUACAUAUACAUAAUACAUACAUAUAUAUAUGUCCUAUACCUCUAAUCUUUAAAAUGGACCGCUCAAUCUUCUUUGCA
This is a long non-coding RNA of Coffea arabica (coffee), 515 nucleotides long. RefSeq lists it as uncharacterized. Lineage: Eukaryota; Viridiplantae; Streptophyta; Magnoliopsida; Gentianales; Rubiaceae. The record is from RefSeq and is a predicted model, not a curated record.